Molecule: small RNA, 29 nt
Filed under: Bombyx mori (domestic silkworm)
Lineage: Eukaryota; Metazoa; Arthropoda; Insecta; Lepidoptera; Bombycidae
Description: ovarian small RNA-7710
Source: RNAcentral
UCUCAGUCGUUCACUCCUGGCGGAGUGGU